CGACCCCAGGAUGGGCGGGAUGACCCG
Molecule: ribosomal RNA, 27 nt
Filed under: Pachyplectron arifolium
Lineage: Eukaryota; Viridiplantae; Streptophyta; Magnoliopsida; Asparagales; Orchidaceae
Also listed under: 2 other names
Description: partial 26S ribosomal RNA
Source: RNAcentral